This 253-nucleotide ribosomal RNA is filed under the name uncultured bacterium. RNAcentral's name for it is "partial 16S ribosomal RNA". It matches the Rfam family "Bacterial small subunit ribosomal RNA", at positions 524 to 776 of the family's 1533-position model. The record is from RNAcentral.
UACAGAGGGUGCGAGCGUUAAUCGGAAUUAUUGGGCGUAAAGGGCGCGUAGGCGGCCUGGCAAGUGGAAGGUGAAAUCCCUCGGCUUAACCGAGGAACUGCCUCCCAAACUGCUUGGCUUGAGACCAGGAGAGGUGAGUGGAAUUCCCAGUGUAGCGGUGAAAUGCGUAGAUAUCCGGAGGAACACCGGUGGCGAAGGCGGCUUCCUGGACCGACACUGACGCUGAGGCGCGAAAGCUAGGGGAGCAAACGGG